RNAcentral lists this unclassified non-coding RNA (1096 nucleotides) under Hevea brasiliensis (rubber tree). Lineage: Eukaryota; Viridiplantae; Streptophyta; Magnoliopsida; Malpighiales; Euphorbiaceae. The record is from RNAcentral.
CGCUGAUAGGGGUUUCAUUCGAUCUCAUAGGAUGCAAAGGAAGCAUUACAGAGGCCUAUCAAAUCCUCAGUGUGUUCAUGGGAUUGAGAUUGUGUCGUCUCCCAAUCUCAUGGUUCUUGAUGAAGAGGAGCGCAAAAGAUGGAAGGAACUCACUGGUAGGGAUGCGAACUUCACUAUCCCACCGGAAGCUAGUGAUUUCAGUACAUGGAGAAACCUCCCCAACACCGAAUUUGAGCUUGAGAGGCCGCUUCCGCCAAUAAAGGGUAACCCACAGUCCAACUCAAAGAAGCUGCUUAAUGGUUCUGGACUUAAUUUGUCAACUCAGCCGUCCAAUCAUAGCAAUGGAGACGCAAUGGAUCUACUACCUGUCAACGGCAAAAGGAAAAAGGACUUCUUCUCAAAUGGAACUGAAGAAGAGUGUUAUCUGCAAGUGAAUCCUCCUUCCUAUCAAAUUCCAGACCUUGAAAUUCACCCAAAUGAACCGAAUUGGUUAAAUGAAUUUACUGGGGUGAUGAGGGAUGCUUAUGGCCCUGUUACAGCUGCAAAAAGUAUCUACGAAGAUGAAGAAGGUUAUUUGAUCGUAAUCAGCUUGCCAUUUGUAGAUCUUCAAAGAGUCAAAGUUUCAUGGCGGAACACACCCACACAUGGGAUAAUUAAGGUGUCUUGUCUGAGCACAUCUCGGAUCCCGUUCAUCAAGAGACAGAAUAGAACUUUCAAGCUUCAAGUUUCAUCCUCAGAACACUGCCUUCCAGGAGAGUUCGUUCGAGAAAUUCCUCUUCCAGCCAGAAUUCCUGAAGAUGCUAAACUUGAAGCAUAUUAUGAUGAAUCAGGAACGGUGCUGGAGAUAUUGGUGCCAAAAGUUCGCGAUGGUCCAGAAGAAGAACAUGAAGUUCGGGUUUGUCUCCGUCCUCACCUUGUUGGAAAUGACCUGAUGUUGACCUAGACGUGUACUUGGAGUAACGCAUAGGUGGUUGUUAGGGCUGGUGCUUCGUUCAGCACCAACUUUGUAGUAUCUGUAGUGUGGUUUUAUCAAAACACACUAAAUGUUGUGGUUGGCAGUUGUUUAUCUUAACUAGUUUUUAUUGUAACAGUGUUU